RNAcentral lists this unclassified non-coding RNA (592 nucleotides) under Absidia sp. 1 ERP-2018. RNAcentral's name for it is "sequence contains ITS1, 5.8S rRNA gene, ITS2". The stretch from base 210 to 360 matches the Rfam family "5.8S ribosomal RNA". Lineage: Eukaryota; Fungi; Mucoromycota; Mucoromycetes; Mucorales; Cunninghamellaceae. RNAcentral also lists the same sequence under 1 other name. The record is from RNAcentral.
GAUCAUUAGAAUGUUAGGCGGAUUUCCUUAGGGGAGUCUGUCAAUCUCUAUUUCUGUGCACUGUUUAAUUUUAGGCGGCCUCUAUUUUAAUUAAUGGUGGGCAUGCCAACCUGGGCGGAUUAUUUUUUCCCUUGGGAGAAAAUGGAUCUGCCCAGAAUUUACUACUAUUCUGACUGAACCUAACAGAAAAUUGUUAAUUUUUAAUAAACAACUUUCAGCAAUGGAUCUCUCGGCUUUCGUAUCGAUGAAGAACGCAGCAAAUCGCGAUAUGUAGUGUGAUCUGCCUAUAGUGAAUCAUCAAAUUUUUGAACGCAUCUUGCACCCUUGGGUAUUCCUGAGGGUACGCCUGUUUCAGUAUCAUUUUAACCUCUCUGCCCAAAAAAUUUAAUUUUUUUGGCUGGGAGAAAUUACUACUGGCCUGGCGAGAGUGGCGGGAAUAUAUUUCCCCCCAAAUUUCUAGGCUUAAAUAUGUUCGGUCAAUUGGGCUGGUAAUUACCUUUUGGUAGAUUUCAUCUGUUAAAAGUAACCCUAUCCAGCCUUUAAUUGCGCCCACCCCUUACAAUCUUGAUCUGAUAAUCAGGCGGGAUUACCC